AUGCGCCGCAGCUUCGCGUACAUGGUGAUGAGGCUGUUGGACGCGGCGGCCUUGUCGGAGAGGCCGGUCUUGAGGCACACCGCGUGGACCAUCUGCCCGUCCCUCGCCGGGCACCCUGCCGGCAGCGCCGAUAUGAGCGCCACGAAGGUGACCUCAUUCGGCGACACGCCGUCUCGCCGCAUGCCAUUGUACAGAGCGAUGAACUCCUCGUCCUCGUCCAUUGAAAUGAUUGUGGUCCAAGAGAUGACGUCUCGCUCGCCCAUGGACUGCAAGAGCUUCCGGCCGCAGGCUGGAGCGCCGCACUUGUAG
RNAcentral lists this ribosomal RNA (309 nucleotides) under Triticum aestivum (bread wheat). Its description in RNAcentral is "partial small subunit ribosomal RNA". The record is from RNAcentral. Lineage: Eukaryota; Viridiplantae; Streptophyta; Magnoliopsida; Poales; Poaceae.